Molecule: long non-coding RNA, 625 nt
Organism: Passer domesticus (house sparrow)
Lineage: Eukaryota; Metazoa; Chordata; Aves; Passeriformes; Passeridae
Exons: 2
Source: RefSeq, a predicted model, not a curated record
CGGGGGGGACGCGGUGUGCCACAGGCUGGGAGAAGCCAGCAGGGCCCUGGGUGUUGGUGGUGUCCUGGCACUCGGGGACAGCAGGAAUGCUGUGCCAGCACUGGGAAGGGAGCGAGGACAGAGCCAGCAGUGCAGCCUGGCUGGUUUGCUGCCCCUCCUUCCCUGCCCACGGCCAGGACCAGCCCCAUCCCCGCUGUCUGCCAGCACUCCCAGGAGGGCCCUGCUGCCCCCCACAACAGGGAUGCGUAAGAAGAACGAGAAGACGUACCAGCUUACUCCUCUAUACCAACAGAGCAGGAAUCAGGACCAAGUGCUGCCCAAGACAGGAGGGAGGAAGGCAGACAGAGAGGGAAGGAGACAUUAGAGAGGUAACUCAGAACAGACUGCGACUCUACGGAAGAAAACAGGCUGCAACAACAACAGUCAGAGGUGUUGACUGAGCAACAGAGACCCAUCCCAAGGACCCAGAGGCCCAUUCUGUGUGCCCAGUACCAUGGAUGUGCUCUCACCAGGACCCCAGUGGUGUCCUCACUGGUGCAAGCAGAGCUUGUGGCAUGGAAAGCUCUACCUGAGUAGAGCUCAGAGCAAGGCAAGAUGCUUGGCAAAUAAACCAGGGAAACCUGUG